This is a long non-coding RNA of Scomber japonicus (chub mackerel), 362 nucleotides long. RefSeq lists it as uncharacterized. The transcript has 3 exons. The record is from RefSeq and is a predicted model, not a curated record. NCBI's taxonomy places the organism in Eukaryota, Metazoa, Chordata, Actinopteri, Scombriformes, Scombridae.
GUUGCCAUUAGCAGAAAUUGCUUAAGGGGUUGAACCACGUGUGUGAGCGCAGCCAGCUGUACUGUGAGCAGGUAUAUAAGGAAGCCAGAACUCUCCAUCCUCCUGGUACUCCUCAGCUGACUCCUAAGGAUUUCUCAACAUGGACUUCAACAGAGUGCUAUGCUGCCUUGGCCUUAUGCUGGCAGCCUGUGCCGCCCAGGAGCCUAUACCCUGCACUGUUCCCCCUCUUAUGAGUGGAGGCUUCACUGUGAUGACCACCAGCAUCAUGUCCACAGGAAAAAUAACCUAUGAUGCUUAUGGUCAGAGGAUGCGGGUUAGGACCUUCAGUUUUUCUGGAAAUGUUACGGACCAGCUGAUGUUUU